CGGGUGAGUAAUACAUCGGAACGUGCCCAGUCGUGGGGGAUAACUACUCGAAAGAGUAGCUAAUACCGCAUNCGAUCUGAGGAUGAAAGCGGGGGACCUUCGGGCCUCGCGCGAUUGGAGCGGCCGAUGGCAGAUUAGGUAGUUGGUGGGAUAAAAGCUUACCAAGCCGACGAUCUGUAGCUGGUCUGAGAGGACGACCAGCCACACUGGGACUGAGACACGGCCCAGACUCCUACGGGAGGCAGCAGUC
Molecule: ribosomal RNA, 250 nt
Filed under: uncultured Delftia sp.
Lineage: Bacteria; Pseudomonadati; Pseudomonadota; Betaproteobacteria; Burkholderiales; Comamonadaceae
Description: partial 16S ribosomal RNA
Rfam family: Bacterial small subunit ribosomal RNA
Source: RNAcentral